RNAcentral lists this long non-coding RNA (456 nucleotides) under Lotus japonicus. RNAcentral describes it as "long non-coding RNA (LJAP_LNC001567)". Lineage: Eukaryota; Viridiplantae; Streptophyta; Magnoliopsida; Fabales; Fabaceae. The record is from RNAcentral.
GGGAGACACUAAAUUACUUAGAAAUUUGAAGCACACUCCCUCAAAAAACCACAAGUAUAAAUAAAAAUAGGUCUUAGAAAAUUAAAAAUAAAAAUAAAACAAUCAAGUACUUGUUGGCAAGACAACCAAUUCAUUCACAACAUAAGAGACAACCCUGUUGAUGAAAUUUCCACCACCAGCCAUGUUUGUGUCUCAGCUUCAAACUGGAAAUGAUUCAAAUAUCAUAAAAAUAAAAAGCAAAACCCUUAAAUGUUGAAGACCAAAAAUUCAAACUUUUCAUAGAGUUAUCGCUAUUCCCUAAAUUUAAUUCCUUAGUUCUUUUAUCAUCCAACGUUUUUUCCGGGAAAAGUUCAAACAGAAGAUAAACAAAAUUAGGGUUUCACAAUAGAAAUCCAUAGCCGAAAAAAAAAAUUGGAUAAGAAUCACAAACCUUAAUUAGAAGAAGGAUUGGAGUGA